AAGAAUUUAGUUAAAUCUAUAACAUUAGUUUGUCAAACUAAAAUCAUUAAAAUUAAUAAUUCUUA
This 65-nucleotide transfer RNA is filed under the name Aloconota currax. RNAcentral describes it as "tRNA-Asp". It matches the Rfam family "tRNA". From Rfam's summary of the family: Transfer RNA (tRNA) molecules are approximately 80 nucleotides in length. Their secondary structure includes four short double-helical elements and three loops (D, anti-codon, and T loops). Lineage: Eukaryota; Metazoa; Arthropoda; Insecta; Coleoptera; Staphylinidae. The record is from RNAcentral.